GCUUUCGUGGUGUAACGGUAGCACACUCGGCGGGUAUUCGAGAGGUCCAGGUUCGAGUCCCGCAGAGGGCA
This 71-nucleotide transfer RNA is filed under the name Stegodyphus mimosarum. It matches the Rfam family "tRNA". From Rfam's summary of the family: Transfer RNA (tRNA) molecules are approximately 80 nucleotides in length. Their secondary structure includes four short double-helical elements and three loops (D, anti-codon, and T loops). The record is from Rfam by way of RNAcentral. Lineage: Eukaryota; Metazoa; Arthropoda; Arachnida; Araneae; Eresidae.